AGGCUCAUUCACCGUUGGAUGAAAUAUAUUACCUCAGUGUACAAGACAUCACAGUAGAGAAGCUUGCACAGCUAAAUCUAUUCCUGUCAAAGUUGACUGGUACACAAACUGGAUUUUCAACAUGUGGACUUGUUACGAUAACCAAGGAAUUUAUUCUUACGAUAGCUGGCGUAUUCUUGACAUACUUCUUAGUACUUUAUACACUUUAGAGAAAGAAGCUAUUGAACAUCAUAAGCUUUGAAAGAAAUAAAAAGCUGUGGCACAACAUAUGUUACUCGGCAUACACUGGAGGAGCCAUAAAAUAUCAUAACUUGUAAGUACAGAAACUAUAGCACACCAUAUGUUACUCGGUAUAUACUGGAGAAGCCAUGAAAUAUCAUAAACUGUAUACAGAAACUAUAGCACAACAUAUGUUACUCGGCAUACCCUCGGGAUACACUGAAGAGGCCAUGAAAUAUCAUAAACUGUGAAUACAGAAACUAUAGCACAACAUAUGUAACUAUACAUAAACUGUUGACUCAGAAGCUACCGUGGUACAGCAUUAUGUUAGAUACAUGGAAGAUGCCAUGCCAUAUCAUAAACUGUGAUUACAGAAACUUUAGUAAAUCGUGUGUUACAAGCAUCUGUGUAUGCAACGUGUAACUUUACAUACGCUGAAAAAUACAUGGAAUUCCAUUAACUGUGUAUAGAGAAAUUGUAACACAGCCUGUUUUACUCUAUGUAUACUGAAAAAUAAAAAAAGUAUCACCUACUGUGAAUACGCAAACAGUAACAAAACAUAUGAUACACUACAUUCACCGAACAAGCUAUGGAAUAUUAUAAGACAGUGACUACAGAAACUCUAACACAAUCUUUAUUAUAUGUUCUGAAAAUAAUCUAAAUUUCAUUGGC
Mercenaria mercenaria is the source of this 891-nucleotide long non-coding RNA. RefSeq lists it as uncharacterized. The transcript has 3 exons. NCBI's taxonomy places the organism in Eukaryota, Metazoa, Mollusca, Bivalvia, Venerida, Veneridae. The record is from RefSeq and is a predicted model, not a curated record.